Molecule: ribosomal RNA, 460 nt
Filed under: uncultured bacterium
Lineage: Bacteria
Description: partial 16S ribosomal RNA
Rfam family: Bacterial small subunit ribosomal RNA
Source: RNAcentral
CCUACGGGAGUCAGCAGUGAGGAAUAUUGGUCAAUGGACGAGAGUCUGAACCAGCCAAGUAGCGUGAAGGAUGACUGCCCUAUGGGUUGUAAACUUCUUUUAUAAAGGAAUAAAACGAGGCACGUGUGCCUUUUUGCAUGUACUUUAUGAAUAAGGAUCGGCUAACUCCGUGCCAGCAGCCGCGGUAAUACGGAGGAUCCGAGCGUUAUCCGGAUUUAUUGGGUUUAAAGGGAGCGUAGAUGGGUUGUUAAGUCAGUUGUGAAAGUUUGCGGCUCAACCGUAAAAUUGCAAUUGAUACUGGCAGUCGUGAGUACAGUUGAGGUAGGCGGAAUUCGUGGUGUAGCGGUGAAAUGCUUAGAUAUCACGAAAAACCCCGAUUGCGAAGGCAGCUUACUAAACUGUGACUGACAUUGAUGCUCGAAAGUGUGGGUAUCAAACAGGAUUAGAUACCCCUGUAGUC